GGACAACCUACCCUGUGGAGGGGGAUAACCCCGGAAAACUGGGGAUAAUACCCCAUAGGUUAGGGUGGCUGGAAUGCCCCCUAGCUCAAAGGUCCGCCGCCACAGGAUGGGUCUGCGGCCGAUUAGGUUGUUGUUGGGGUAACGGCCCAACAAGCCUUUGAUCGGUACGGGUUGUGGGAGCAAGAGCCCGGAGAUGGAUUCUGAGACACGAAUCCAGGCCCUACGGGGCGCAGCAGGCGCGAAAACUUUACAAUGCGAGAAAUCGUGAUAAGGGAACCCCGAGUGCCCGUAAAUUCGGGCUGUCCGCCAGUGCAAAAAACUGGUGAAGAAAGAGCCGGGCAAGACCGGUGCCAGCCGCCGCGGUAAUACCGGCGGCUCGAGUGGUGGCCACUAUUACUGGGCUUAAAGCGUCCGUAGCUUGGUUGUUAAGUCUCCUGGGAAAUCCAUCGGCUCAACCGAUGGGCGUUCAGGAGAUACUGGCAACCUAGGGACCGGGAGAGGUGAGAGGUACUCCAGGGGUAGGAGUGAAAUCCUGUAAUCCUUGGGGGACCACCUGUGGCGAAGGCGUCUCACUAGAACGGCUCCGACAGUGAGGGACGAAAGCUGGGGGAGCAAACCGGAUUAGAUACCCGGGUAGUCCCAGCUGUAAACGAUGCGCGUUAGGUGUAUCGGUGACCACGAGUCACCGAGGUGCCGAAGGGAAACCGUGAAACGUGCCGCCUGGGAAGUACGGUCGCAAGGCUGAAACUUAAAGGAAUUGGCGGGGGAGCACCACAACAGGUGGAGCCUGCGGUUUAAUCGGACUCAACGCCGGGAAGCUCACCGGAUAAGACAGCUGAAUGAUAGCCGGGUUGAAGACUCUGCUUGACUAGCUGAGAGGAGGUGCAUGGCCGUCGUCAGUUCGUACUGUGAAGCAUCCUGUUAAGUCAGGCAACGAGCGAGACCCACGCCAACAGUUGCCAGCAUGUCCUCCGGGAUGGUGGGGACACUGUUGGGACCGCCUCUGCUAAAGAGGAGGAA
Molecule: ribosomal RNA, 1020 nt
Filed under: uncultured archaeon
Lineage: Archaea
Description: bacterial SSU rRNA
Rfam family: Archaeal small subunit ribosomal RNA
Source: RNAcentral